UACGUAGGGGGCAAGCGUUGUCCGGAUUUAUUGGGCGUAAAGAGUGUGUAGGCGGUGUUCUAAGUCUGUUGUGAAAUCUCCCGGCUUAACUGGGAGGGUGCGGCGGAAACUGGAAUGCUAGAGGAUGGGAGAGGUAAGCGGAAUUCCUGGUGUAGCGGUGAAAUGCGUAGAUAUCAGGAGGAACACCUGUGGUGUAGACAGCUUACUGGACCAUUUCUGACGCUGAGACACGAAAGCGUGGGUAGCAAACAGG
RNAcentral lists this ribosomal RNA (253 nucleotides) under uncultured bacterium. RNAcentral's name for it is "partial 16S ribosomal RNA". It matches the Rfam family "Bacterial small subunit ribosomal RNA", at positions 524 to 776 of the family's 1533-position model. The record is from RNAcentral.